Molecule: ribosomal RNA, 512 nt
Filed under: uncultured bacterium
Lineage: Bacteria
Description: bacterial SSU rRNA
Rfam family: Bacterial small subunit ribosomal RNA
Source: RNAcentral
GACGAACGCUGGCGGCGUGCCUAAUACAUGCAAGUCGAGCGGACCAAAGGGAGCUUGCUCCUGGAGGUCAGCGGCGAACGGGUGAGUAACACGUGGGCAACCUGCCUGUAAGGCUGGGAUAACAUCGAGAAAUCGGUGCUAAUACCGGAUAAUAAAAAGAACCGCAUGGUUCUUUUUUGAAAGAUGGUUUCGGCUAUCACUUACAGAUGGGCCCGCGGCGCAUUAGCUAGUUGGUGAGGUAACGGCUCACCAAGGCAACGAUGCGUAGCCGACCUGAGAGGGUGAUCGGCCACACUGGGACUGAGACACGGCCCAGACUCCUACGGGAGGCAGCAGUAGGGAAUCUUCCGCAAUGGACGAAAGUCUGACGGAGCAACGCCGCGUGAGUGAUGAAGGUUUUCGGAUCGUAAAACUCUGUUGUUAGGGAAGAACAAGUGCCGUUCGAAAGGGCGGCACCUUGACGGUACCUAACGAGAAAGCCACGGCUAACUACGUGCCAGCAGCCGCGGUAA